This 1292-nucleotide ribosomal RNA is filed under the name Caloramator sp. RNAcentral's name for it is "bacterial SSU rRNA". It matches the Rfam family "Bacterial small subunit ribosomal RNA", at positions 28 to 1349 of the family's 1533-position model. Lineage: Bacteria; Bacillati; Bacillota; Clostridia; Eubacteriales; Clostridiaceae. The record is from RNAcentral.
GACAAAUUGUCGGCGUGCUACACAUGCAGUCGAGCGGAGGGGAUAGGAGCUUGCUUCUUGAACCUUAGCGGCGGACGGGUGAGUAACACGUGGGUAAUCUGCCCUUGAGAGGGGGAUAACAGGUCGAAAGGCCUGCUAAUACCGCAUAACGCUAAGAUGCUGCAUGGCGUCUUAGCCAAAGGUUAAUUCCGCUCAAGGAUGAGCCCGCGGCCCAUUAGCUAGUUGGUGAGGUAACGGCUCACCAAGGCAACGAUGGGUAGCCGGCCUGAGAGGGUGGUCGGCCACACUGGGACUGAGACACGGCCCAGACUCCUACGGGAGGCAGCAGUGGGGAAUAUUGCGCAAUGGGGGAAACCCUGACGCAGCGACGCCGCGUGAGCGAUGAAGGCCUUCGGGUUGUAAAGCUCUGUCUUCCCUGACGAUAAUGACGGUAAGGGAGGAGGAAGCCACGGCUAACUACGUGCCAGCAGCCGCGGUAAUACGUAGGUGGCAAGCGUUGUCCGGAAUUAUUGGGCGUAAAGGGUGCGUAGGCGGCUCUUUAAGUGGGAUGUGAAAUCCCUAGGCUCAACCUAGGAACUGCAUUCCAAACUGGAGAGCUAGAGUGCAGGAGAGGAAAGCGGAAUUCCCAGUGUAGCGGUGAAAUGCGUAGAGAUUGGGAGGAACACCAGUGGCGAAGGCGGCUUUCUGGACUGUAACUGACGCUGAGGCACGAAAGCGUGGGGAGCAAACAGGAUUAGAUACCCUGGUAGUCCACGCUGUAAACGAUGGGUACUAGGUGUAGGGGGCGAAGCCCUCUGUGCCGCAGCUAACGCAUUAAGUACCCCGCCUGGGGAGUACGGUCGCAAGAUUAAAACUCAAAGGAAUUGACGGGGGCCCGCACAAGGAGGGGGAGCAUGUGGUUUAAUUCGAAGCAACGCGAAGAACCUUACCAGGGCUUGACAUCCACCGAACCCUGUGGAAACACGGGGGUGCCCUUCGGGGAACGGUGAGACAAGGUGGUGCAUGGUUGUCGUCAGCUCGUGUCGUGAGAAUGUUGGGGUUAAGUCCCGCAACGAGCGCAACCCCUGCCUUUAGUUGCCAGCAAAUUCGUUGGGCACUCUAAGAGGGACUGCUUGGGUUAACCAAGAGAAGGUGGGGAUGACGUCAAUCAUCAUGCCCCGUAUGCUCUGGCUAACCACGUGCUACAAUUGCGUACAAAAGAAGAAGCAAGUUCCGCGAGAGAAGACAUCUAACCGGUUCAGUUCGGAUGAGCUUGCCAAUCUGCCUACUAUGAAGAGCUGGGAAGUGCGUCA